GGCCACUCUCCCAGUACUCUACGGGCAUGAAGAUAUUUAUUUCUUCUUAGUGGGGGCUAAAGGUCAAGAUCAGCCCUUGAAAAUAAUUGACAGAAUUGCCAUGCACCUGGUACCUGGUAGCCUUGUUUUCUUGCCUCACACAAUU
This is a non-coding RNA of Acomys russatus (golden spiny mouse), 145 nucleotides long. Lineage: Eukaryota; Metazoa; Chordata; Mammalia; Rodentia; Muridae. The record is from RefSeq and is a predicted model, not a curated record.